This 113-nucleotide ribosomal RNA is filed under the name Curtobacterium sp. MCBA15_003. RNAcentral's name for it is "partial 16S ribosomal RNA". It matches the Rfam family "Bacterial small subunit ribosomal RNA", at positions 1 to 110 of the family's 1533-position model. The record is from RNAcentral. RNAcentral also lists the same sequence under 1 other name. Lineage: Bacteria; Bacillati; Actinomycetota; Actinomycetes; Micrococcales; Microbacteriaceae.
UUUUUACGGAGAGUUUGAUCCUGGCUCAGGACGAACGCUGGCGGCGUGCUUAACACAUGCAAGUCGAACGAUGAUCAGGAGCUUGCUCCUGUGAUUAGUGGCGAACGGGUGAG